GUACGUAUUUACUUCACAUCAGGCAUACAAUGGUGGACAAAACAGCUGCCUUUCUUCCCCGUAUGGAGCUUACAGUAUAGUGAAUAUUUCAUGGGACUAGUAUCUACAGAAGGUGUUUUGGGAAGCACAGCUUUGGAGAGAGUAAUUUGCCAACAUUGCACAGAAUAAAGGCACCAUGAGGGCCCAAGGAAGGAAAAGAUUUGCAGCUGUCUUGCUUGGCAGGUCACCUUGUUCUAGCAGAUAGAAACUGAAUCAAUAUGGGAAGAGCCAGAAUUUGGACAAGGUUCACCAAACAUUCACACUGAUGCCAGGUGGGCCAAGAAAAAGGGAAUGUCCUGCCUCUGAGACCUGCUGCCAAAAAGGUAUGAAAACUCUACAAAGAUCUGUCAGAAAGAACGGCAACAGUCCUGAGGCAACCUUCUCUACUGGAAGAUGUGGGCUGUUGCCAGCACCAUUCUGGAUCAUCUACCAAAAAGCAUUCAGCUGCUUCUGCCUUCUGGGAACAAAUUCAAACUUCUGGUCUACUCUUAAGCACCCUUCACUCCUAAGGGGUUUUUUUCUUCAGGUUAAUGGAAUGGGGAAAUGGGGGAGGAAAGAGGUAAAUAUACAUUCUUAUAUAUUUCAUUUUCAAUUGAAUCGUAAUUUCACCAUCUUUUUCAUCAAAGUUGAAUACAUCCUUUUUAUUUCUAGAGUGGCACAAAAGGAUGACCAGGAUUUAUUAUCCAAACCAGAACACAUUUGAGGCUAACAAUGGGUACCAUUAUUAAUUAUUAGCCUAGGUAACAGGCAUACUCCAGGACUGAUAUGAACAAAUCAGGCUGCAUGGUCACACUACAUACAAAAGUGCACACUAACUAGGUGCAGACUUAUGGCAAAAAAGGCUUUUAAGUCCAACAAAGAGACAAGAAAAUGAGACAAGAGAAGUGUGAAUUCUGUGAGGGGACAUAAAAUGCUUAAUACCUUGGGCACAAUGCAAGCAGGAUAUUUUACAGAUAACAGAGUUACAGUCAGGUAGAACGACUCAGAGAAUAGGUUGGAGAACAAUGCCCAUUUUUGUUAUCUCAGUGGAUAGCAGAAACUUUUCUGGGAUAUUAUGUCUCAAGAACAAUGGUAGAAUGUUAAUUCAAUGGAUUGGAGUUAUAAUUAGGGCACUGAUUUUUCAUCUGGGGUUAAUUUAUCCACUCCCUCUUUACAACCACCCCUGCUCACCACCAGGCACAUUUGGCAAUGUCUUGAGAUAUUACUGGUUGUUAACACUCGGAGUUACUGCUGACAUCUAUGAGUAGAGGCCAAGGAUAUUAUAAUGCUAAACAUCAUAGAAUGCACAAGGCAGUCCCCCCACAAUACAAACAGGUUUUCAGCCCAACAUAUCAAUAGUGCUGAGGUUGAGAAACCCUAGGUUAGGGUUAGAAAACCACCUGGAUACAGCUUUCAGAAGGCAUUGAGCACAUCACCUGAGAAUAACCAGAGACUAACCAUAGUUUUCUCUUACAUGGCUUCUUUCCAAUAUUUUCAUACAUUGGGUACAGCCUCCAAAUGUGGAAGCUGAUGGCAGCUUCCUGAACCGAAUAGUGAAGAUAUUUUUCAGUCUUUUUUGUUUCCUAUUUGUUCUUGUAUAAUCCAUUUUUAUUGAGAAUACUUGGAAAUACCAGAUUUCCUUUACCUCCCUUACUUUAAUUAUAUAUAAAACAGAGAUAAUAAAGGUUACCUUGUUUUAUGUCUCCAUUUUGCUAAAUAAUACUAUCAUUCUUCUAAGUUCCCUCUCUGGCUUGGAAUUUUGGAGCUAUCUUUGAUUUCUCUAUUUUCCUUAUCUCCAUACCCACCUCAAUCACCAAUACCAUUGAUUGUUUUCCAAAAUAUUCUCUGAUUUCCAAAAUACACUGUAACUUUCUUCUUAGCCUAUUGACUUAAAGGUGGGAGGAGCCCAAAGUGUCCAGGUGGCAAUCUUAACUUUUAGUUUAAUGGAAUUGUUGUUGUGUCUCCUGGUGGCAGCGUUCGUCCCUCUGGAGCUAAGACCUCUAGGCCAGCAGAACGCAAUGUUGCAGGAACAGGAAGCAAAAAUUUUUCUACUGGAUCACUAGGGGUGAUGGUGAGUGGUGCCACUUCCACCCCUUGAUUCCUGGACCCAUGAAUCCUGGCUAUGGGAGAAACAGUACCGUAUAUUGGAGGCUGAUUCAGAGCAUACACAGCCUUCUGGAGAACUUUGCCCCGAGCCUGCAAAGUAUUGUCACCUGGCUGGCAUUGUAAUUGUGACUUCAAAAGGCCAUUCUGCCAUUCUAUCAAUCCAGCUGCUUCAGGAUGAU
Pan troglodytes (chimpanzee) is the source of this 2303-nucleotide long non-coding RNA. The record is from Ensembl. Lineage: Eukaryota; Metazoa; Chordata; Mammalia; Primates; Hominidae.